GGGCAAGACCUAUGAUGAGUGACCAGGUGACAGAGUCAAGUGCCGCCGUGUCCAGGUUUGGGGAGACCCUUCCUUUUGUGGGUCUCAAGUGAGAGGGUUACAUAUUGUGAGGUUGAGAAGCUGCCCUGUCUGGUGUUCCUGAUGUGAUUUGGGAUAUCCACAUAUCCAGGUGCUCCUGAUUUAGUUCGAUAAGUUAUUUAUCAGUUUGUGCCCUAUGUUGUGCCGGGCAGAUGGUGGUACUUUACUUGUGCAAAAAGGGGUGGGGUCAUCCUAUCUUGGCACCUAUAUUACAGCUUUAAAAUAACAGGGUAACUCAGGUUUAGAUACAGUAAGACAACUGCUGUUUUACACAUCAUGGAGUCACUCAGGGCAGGCACGUCCUGAAAGCUGCUGUCCUGCUUGCCAUGGAGUCACUCAGGCAAGCACAGCCUGGAAGCUGCCAUCCUGUACACCAUGGAGUCUGAAGUCCUGGGCUUCUCCCCAAUGCACACACAUUAUUUGUGCUGUUCUGUGGAGAAAAAGUGAUCAUCUUUCAGGGAAGACAGGCCACAUCAGAUGGGAGUACUUACAUGUAGCCUGAGAAACAGCAACAACAUUUUUUAAAAAACUAAAAUGAAAUUUAUCAACCCUUUCUGAAAGUAUGGUCUCUGCUACAUGAAGAGCUCUGUACAGGGUCAGAUAAAAAAUAGAUUAAUCAAUGGUGAUAAUGGUGGUUGUGAUGGAGAUGGAGAUGGUGAUGGAGGUGGAGGUGGUAAUGGUGAUGAUGAUGAAUGGUGAUAGUGAUGGAGAUGGAGAUGGAGAUCUAGUGGUGAUGGUGAUGGAGAUGGUGAUGGUGAUGGUGGUGGAGUGGUAAUGGUGAUGAUGAUGUGAUGGUGAUAGUGGUGGAGAUGGAGAUAGAAAUCUGGUGGUGAUGGUGAUGGAGAUGGUGAUGGAGAUGGAGAUGGUGUUGGUGAUGAUGGAGUGGUGAUAGUGAUAAUGAUGGAGAUGGAGAUGGUGAUGGAGAUGGAGAUCUAGAGUGAUGAGAUGGUGAUGGAGAUGGAGAUAGUGACGGAGAUGGAGUGGUGAUGGAGAUGGUGAUGGAGAUGGCGAUGGUGAUGGUGUUGGAGAUGGCGAUGGUGAUGUGUUGGAGUGGUGAUGUUGAUGGUGAUUGUGGUGUUCAUGGUGAUUGUGGUGUUGAUGGUGAUGGAGAUGGAGAUGGUGUUGGUGAUGAUGAUGGAGUGGUGAUAGUGAUAUUGAUGGAGAUGGAGAUGGUGAUGGAGGUGGUGAUGGAGAUGGAGAUCUAGGGUGAUGAGAUGGUGAUGGAGAUGGAGAUAGUGACAGAGAUGGAGUGGUGAUGGAGAUGGCGAUGGUGAUGGUGUUGGAGUGGUGAUGUUGAUGGUGAUUGUGGUGUUGAUGGUGAUGGUGAUGGAGAUGGUGUUGGUGAUGAUGAUGGAGUGGUGAUAGUGAUAAUGAUGGAGAUGGAGAUGGUGAUGGAGAUGGAGAUCUAGGGUGAUGAGAUGGUGAUGGAGAUGGAGAUAGUGACGGAGAUGGAGUGGUGAUGGAGAUGGCGAUGGAGAUGGCGAUGGUGAUGGUGUUGGAGAUGGCGAUGGUGAUGGUGUUGGAGUGGUGAUGUUGAUGGUGAUUGUGGUGUUCAUGGUGAUUGUGGUGUUGAUGGUGAUGGUGAUGGUUAUGGAGAUGGUGAUGGUGAUUGUGGUGUUGAUGGUGAUGAGAUGGUGAUGGUGAUUGUGGUGGUGAUGGUGAUGGUGUGAUGAUGAUGAUGGAGUGGUGAUGGUGAUGAUGAUGAUGGAGAUGGAGAUGGUGAUGGAGAUGGUGAUGGGAGAUGGAGAUGGAGAUGGUGAUGGGAUGGUGAUGGAGAUGGAGAUCUAGGGUGAUGAGAUAGAGAUGGAGAUGGAGAUCUAGUGGUGAUGGGAUGGUGAUGGAGAUGGAGAUCUAGGGUGAUGAGAUGGUGAUGGAGAUGGAGAUAGUGACGGAGAUGGAGUGGUGAUGGAGAUGGUGAUGGUGAUGGUGAUGGAGAUGGCGAUGGUGAUGGUGUUGGAGUGGUGAUGGUGAUGGUGAUUGUGGUGUUGAUGGUGAUUGUGGUGUUGAUGGUAAUGGAGAUGGUGAUGGUGAUGGUGAUGGAGAUGGUGAUGGAGAUGGCGAUGGUGAUGGUGUUGGAGUGGUGAUGGUGAUGGUGAUUGUGGUGUUGAUGGUGAUUGUGGUGUUAAUGGUAAUGGAGAUGGUGAUGGUGGUGGUGAUGGUGAUGGUGUGAUGAUGAUGAUGGAGUGGUGAUGGUGAUGGUUAUGGAGAUGGUGAUGGAGGUGGUGAUGGUGAUGGAGUGGUGAUGAUGAUGGUGAUGGCGAUGGAGAUAGAAAUGGUGAUGGUGUGAUGAUGGUGAUGGAGUGGUGAUGGUGAUGGUUAUGGAGAUGGUGAUGGUGAUUGUGGUGGUGAUGGUGAUGGAGUGGUGAUAGUGAUGGUGAUGGAGUUGGUGAUGGUGUGGUGACAGUGAUGGAGUAGUGAUGGUGAUGGAGUGGUGAUAAUGAUGUGAUGAGUAGUAAUGGUGAUUAUAAGUUGUGGGUGAAUUAGGUGUUGUCAGUGUAGGUCGGGAGUUAUUCGGUCUACAGGGC
RNAcentral lists this long non-coding RNA (2603 nucleotides) under Marmota monax (woodchuck). Lineage: Eukaryota; Metazoa; Chordata; Mammalia; Rodentia; Sciuridae. The record is from RNAcentral.